UUUAAUUGAAGAGUUUGAUCAUGGCUCAGAUUGAACGCUGGCGGCAGGCCUAACACAUGCAAGUCGAGCGGCAGCGACAUAAACAAACCUUCGGGGGCGCUUAUGGGCGGCGAGCGGCGGACGGGUGAGUAAUGCCUGGGAAAUUGCCCUGAUGUGGGGGAUAACCAUUGGAAACGAUGGCUAAUACCGCAUGAUA
RNAcentral lists this ribosomal RNA (196 nucleotides) under Vibrio xiamenensis. RNAcentral describes it as "16S rRNA. Bacterial SSU". It matches the Rfam family "Bacterial small subunit ribosomal RNA", at positions 1 to 178 of the family's 1533-position model. The record is from RNAcentral. Lineage: Bacteria; Pseudomonadati; Pseudomonadota; Gammaproteobacteria; Vibrionales; Vibrionaceae.